This 247-nucleotide unclassified non-coding RNA is filed under the name Hevea brasiliensis (rubber tree). The record is from RNAcentral. Lineage: Eukaryota; Viridiplantae; Streptophyta; Magnoliopsida; Malpighiales; Euphorbiaceae.
GGUGAUGCUGGGAUCGUGGAAUGCUCAUUCGUGUCUUCUCAGGUGACUGAACUACCAUUCUUUGCAUCAAAAGUUCGCUUAGGUCGUCAAGGUGCUGAGGAAAUCUUCCCUCUUGGGCCACUGAAUGAGUAUGAAAGGUCUGGUUUGGAGAAGGCGAAGAAAGAGUUAACUGAGAGCAUUCAAAAGGGAGUUUCUUUCAUUCGGAACUGAUUAAAUAAAAUUUGUGCGGCCAAGGGUACAAAUCUCA